RNAcentral lists this ribosomal RNA (136 nucleotides) under Sporothrix schenckii. RNAcentral's name for it is "partial intergenic spacer 1". It matches the Rfam family "5.8S ribosomal RNA", at positions 21 to 154 of the family's 154-position model. From Rfam's summary of the family: 5.8S ribosomal RNA (5.8S rRNA) is a component of the large subunit of the eukaryotic ribosome. It is transcribed by RNA polymerase I as part of the 45S precursor that also contains 18S and 28S rRNA. Lineage: Eukaryota; Fungi; Ascomycota; Sordariomycetes; Ophiostomatales; Ophiostomataceae. The record is from RNAcentral.
UUGGCUCUGGCAUCGAUGAAGAACGCAGCGAAAUGCGAUACGUAAUGUGAAUUGCAGAAUUCAGCGAACCAUCGAAUCUUUGAACGCACAUUGCGCCCGCCAGCAUUCUGGCGGGCAUGCCUGUCCGAGCGUCAUU